RNAcentral lists this ribosomal RNA (460 nucleotides) under uncultured bacterium. Its description in RNAcentral is "partial 16S ribosomal RNA". It matches the Rfam family "Bacterial small subunit ribosomal RNA", at positions 338 to 795 of the family's 1533-position model. The record is from RNAcentral.
CCUACGGGAGGCAGCAGUGAGGAAUAUUGGUCAAUGGCCGGAAGGCUGAACCAGCCAUGCCGCGUGAAGGUCAGUGCCCUAUGGGCGUUAAACUUCUUUUGUGCGGGAGCAAUAAUGGUCACGUGUGGCCAGACGAGAGUACCGUACGAAUAAGCAUCGGCUAACUCCGUGCCAGCAGCCGCGGUAAUACGGGGGAUGCAAGCGUUAUCCGGAUUUAUUGGGUGUAAAGGGUGCGUAGGGUGUGAGGUAAGUCAGCGGUGAAAUGCUCCCGGUCAACGGGGUGAAGUGCCAUUGAUACUGCCGUGCUGGAAUGCGGAUGCCGUGGGAGGAAUGUGUGGUGUAGCGGUGAAAUGCAUAGAUAUCACACAGAACACCGAUUGCGAAGGCAUCUCACGAAUCCGCGAUUGACGCUGAUGCACGAAAGCGUGGGUAUCAAACAGGAUUAGAUACCCUGGUAGUC